Podarcis lilfordi (Lilford's wall lizard) is the source of this 75-nucleotide non-coding RNA. Lineage: Eukaryota; Metazoa; Chordata; Lepidosauria; Squamata; Lacertidae. The record is from the annotation of a GenBank genome assembly.
AGGACUGUAGCUCAGUGGCAGACCAUCUGCUUUGAAUACAGAAGAUCCCAGAUUUAAUUCCUGGCCCUGGCCUUU